CAUGCAGUCGAACGGCAGCACAGGAGAGCUUGCUCUCUGGGUGGCGAGUGGCGGACGGGUGAGGAAUACAUCGGAAUCUACUUUUUCGUGGGGGAUAACGUAGGGAAACUUACGCUAAUACCGCAUACGACCUACGGGUGAAAGCAGGGGAUCUUCGGACCUUGCGCGAUUGAAUGAGCCGAUGUCGGAUUAGCUAGUUGGCGGGGUAAAGGCCCACCAAGGCGACGAUCCGUAGCUGGUCUGAGAGGAUGAUCAGCCACACUGGAACUGAGACACGGUCCAGACUCCUACGGGAGGCAGCAGUGGGGAAUAUUGGACAAUGGGCGCAAGCCUGAUCCAGCCAUACCGCGUGGGUGAAGAAGGCCUUCGGGUUGUAAAGCCCUUUUGUUGGGAAAGAAAUCCAGCUGGCUAAUACCCGGUUGGGAUGACGGUACCCAAAGAAUAAGCACCGGCUAACUUCGUGCCAGCAGCCGCGGUAAUACGAAGGGUGCAAGCGUUACUCGGAAUUACUGGGCGUAAAGCGUGCGUAGGUGGUCGUUUAAGUCCGUUGUGAAAGCCCUGGGCUCAACCUGGGAACUGCAGUGGAUACUGGGCGACUAGAGUGUGGUAGAGGGUAGCGGAAUUCCUGGUGUAGCAGUGAAAUGCGUAGAGAUCAGGAGGAACAUCCAUGGCGAAGGCAGCUACCUGGACCAACACUGAC
RNAcentral lists this ribosomal RNA (700 nucleotides) under uncultured bacterium. RNAcentral describes it as "bacterial SSU rRNA". It matches the Rfam family "Bacterial small subunit ribosomal RNA", at positions 54 to 744 of the family's 1533-position model. The record is from RNAcentral.